This 253-nucleotide ribosomal RNA is filed under the name uncultured bacterium. Its description in RNAcentral is "partial 16S ribosomal RNA". It matches the Rfam family "Bacterial small subunit ribosomal RNA", at positions 524 to 776 of the family's 1533-position model. The record is from RNAcentral.
UACGUAGGAGGCAAGCGUUGUCCGGAGUUACUGGGCGUAAAGCGCACGUAGGCGGACUCUUAAGUCGGUGGUGAAAUCCUGGAGCUCAACUCCAGAACUGCCUUCGAUACUGAGAGUCUCGAGUCCGGGAGAGGUGAGUGGAACUGCGAGUGUAGAGGUGAAAUUCGUAGAUAUUCGCAAGAACACCAGUGGCGAAGGCGGCUCACUGGCCCGGUACUGACGCUGAGGUGCGAAAGCGUGGGGAGCAAACAGG